RNAcentral lists this ribosomal RNA (253 nucleotides) under uncultured bacterium. RNAcentral describes it as "partial 16S ribosomal RNA". It matches the Rfam family "Bacterial small subunit ribosomal RNA", at positions 524 to 776 of the family's 1533-position model. The record is from RNAcentral.
UACGUAGGGUCCGAGCGUUGUCCGGAAUUAUUGGGCGUAAAGAGCUCGUAGGCGGUCUGUUGCGUCGGUUGUGAAAACCUGGGGCUCAACUCCAGGCCUGCAAUCGAUACGGGCAGACUAGAGUUCGGUAGGGGAGACUGGAAUUCCUGGUGUAGCGGUGGAAUGCGCAGAUAUCAGGAGGAACACCGGUGGCGAAGGCGGGUCUCUGGGCAGUAACUGACGCUGAGGAGCGAAAGCGUGGGGAGCGAACAGG